Molecule: ribosomal RNA, 263 nt
Filed under: uncultured archaeon
Lineage: Archaea
Description: partial 16S ribosomal RNA
Rfam family: Archaeal small subunit ribosomal RNA
Source: RNAcentral
CAGCCGUAAACUAUGCGCGUUAGGUGUACUGGUGACCACGAGUCACCGGGGUGCCGAAGGGAAACCGUGAAACGUGCCGCCUGGGAAGUACGGUCGCAAGGCUGAAACUUAAAGGAAUUGGCGGGGGGAGGCACCACAACGGGUGGAGCCUGCGGUUUAAUUGGACUCAACGCCGGAAAUCUCACCGGAUAGGACAGACAUAUGAUAGUCGGGCUGAAGACUCUACUUGAUGAUCUGAGAGGAGGUGCAUGGCGUCAGUGACU